ACUCCUAAUUUUUUCCUCAUUUAAAUUCCUUAUAUCUUUGUUUAAAUAAUGUUUAAAAGAUCUGUCCAACUCCAUAAAAUAAGUUUUAAAGUACCUGUUUUUGUAGUGUUAUAGGAUAUCAGCUUGUUCAGACUAUUUAAGUUCUGUUUCAAGAAUCUGGGAGCAUUUAUGUAGGGUGCAUAAGUAUUU
This 189-nucleotide microRNA precursor is filed under the name Otolemur garnettii (small-eared galago). RNAcentral describes it as "miRNA (ENSOGAG00000026445.1)". Lineage: Eukaryota; Metazoa; Chordata; Mammalia; Primates; Galagidae. The record is from RNAcentral.